Molecule: ribosomal RNA, 397 nt
Filed under: uncultured bacterium
Lineage: Bacteria
Description: partial 16S ribosomal RNA
Rfam family: Bacterial small subunit ribosomal RNA
Source: RNAcentral
CCUACGGGUGGCAGCAGUGAGGAAUAUUGGUCAAUGGCCGUAAGGCUGAACCAGCCAAGCCGCGUGAAGGAAGAAGGAUCUAUGGUUUGUAAACCUCUUUUAUAGGGGAAUAAACGUAGCCACGUGUGGAUAUGUGCCUGUACCUUAUGAAUAAGCAUCGGCUAACUCCGUGCCAGCAGCCGCGGUAAUACGGAGGAUUCGAGCGUUUUCCGGGUUUAUUGGGUUUAAAGGGUGCGUAGGGUGUUUUUUAAGUCAGCGGUGAAAGUUUGUGGCUCAACCAUAGAAUUGCCGUUGAAACUGGAAGACUUGAGUGUUGUUGAGGUAGGCGGAAUGCGUGGUGUAGCGGUGAAAUGCGUAGAUAUCACGCAGAACUCCGAUUGCGAAGGCAGCUUACUAG